Molecule: ribosomal RNA, 502 nt
Filed under: uncultured bacterium
Lineage: Bacteria
Description: partial 16S ribosomal RNA
Rfam family: Bacterial small subunit ribosomal RNA
Source: RNAcentral
GGCGAACGCUGGCGGCGUGCUUAACACAUGCAAGUCGAACGGUGAAGGGGUCUGCUUUUGUGGGCCCUGGAUGAGUGGCGAACGGGUGAGUAACACGUGAGUAACCUGCCCCCUUCUUCUGGAUAACCGCAUGAAAGUGUGGCUAAUACGGGAUAUUCUGGGUCUGUCGCAUGAUGGGUCUGGGAAAGAUUGCGCCUUUGGGUGUUUUUGGUGGGGGAUGGGCUCGCGGCCUAUCAGCUUGUUGGUGGGGUGAUGGCCUACCAAGGCGGUGACGGGUAGCCGGCCUGAGAGGGUGGACGGUCACACUGGGACUGAGACACGGCCCAGACUCCUACGGGAGGCAGCAGUGGGGAAUAUUGCACAAUGGGCGCAAGCCUGAUGCAGCGACGCCGCGUGAGGGAGGGAGGCCUUCGGGGUGUAAACCUCUUUCGCCAGUGAAGCAGGCCUGCUCCUUGUGGGUGGGUUGACGGUAGCUGGAUAAGAAGCGCCGGCUAACUACGUG